CUGCGGAAGGAUCAUUACCGAGUGUAGGGUUCCUAGCGAGCCCAACCUCCCACCCGUGUUUACUGUACCUUAGUUGCUUCGGCGGGCCCGCCAUUCAUGGCCGCCGGGGGCUCUCAGCCCCGGGCCCGCGCCCGCCGGAGACACCACGAACUCUGUCUGAUCUAGUGAAGUCUGAGUUGAUUGUAUCGCAAUCAGUUAAAACUUUCAACAAUGGAUCUCUUGGUUCCGGCAUCGAUGAAGAACGCAGCGAAAUGCGAUAACUAGUGUGAAUUGCAGAAUUCCGUGAAUCAUCGAGUCUUUGAACGCACAUUGCGCCCCCUGGUAUUCCGGGGGGCAUGCCUGUCCGAGCGUCAUUGCUGCCCAUCAAGCACGGCUUGUGUGUUGGGUCGUCGUCCCCUCUCCGGGGGGGACGGGCCCCAAAGGCAGCGGCGGCACCGCGUCCGAUCCUCGAGCGUAUGGGGCUUUGUCACCCGCUCUGUAGGCCCGGCCGGCGCUUGCCGAACGCAAAUCAAUCUUUUUCCAUGUUGACCUCGGAUCAGGUAGGGAUACCCGCUGAACUUAAGCAUAUCAAU
Molecule: ribosomal RNA, 572 nt
Filed under: Aspergillus flavus
Lineage: Eukaryota; Fungi; Ascomycota; Eurotiomycetes; Eurotiales; Aspergillaceae
Description: eukaryotic LSU rRNA
Rfam family: 5.8S ribosomal RNA (bases 200-353)
Source: RNAcentral